This 416-nucleotide ribosomal RNA is filed under the name Salmonella enterica subsp. enterica serovar Thompson. Its description in RNAcentral is "partial 23S ribosomal RNA". It matches the Rfam family "Bacterial large subunit ribosomal RNA", at positions 776 to 1190 of the family's 2925-position model. Lineage: Bacteria; Pseudomonadati; Pseudomonadota; Gammaproteobacteria; Enterobacterales; Enterobacteriaceae. The record is from RNAcentral. RNAcentral also lists the same sequence under 2 other names.
GAACCGACUAAUGUUGAAAAAUUAGCGGAUGACCUGUGGCUGGGGGUGAAAGGCCAAUCAAACCGGGAGAUAGCUGGUUCUCCCCGAAAGCUAUUUAGGUAGCGCCUCGUGAAUUCAUCUCCGGGGGUAGAGCACUGUUUCGGCUAGGGGGCCAUCCCGGCUUACCAACCCGAUGCAAACUGCGAAUACCGGAGAAUGUUAUCACGGGAGACACACGGCGGGUGCUAACGUCCGUCGUGAAGAGGGAAACAACCCAGACCGCCAGCUAAGGUCCCAAAGUCAUGGUUAAGUGGGAAACGAUGUGGGAAGGCCCAGACAGCCAGGAUGUUGGCUUAGAAGCAGCCAUCAUUUAAAGAAAGCGUAAUAGCUCACUGGUCGAGUCGGCCUGCGCGGAAGAUGUAACGGGGCUAAACCAU